This 430-nucleotide ribosomal RNA is filed under the name uncultured bacterium. RNAcentral describes it as "bacterial SSU rRNA". It matches the Rfam family "Bacterial small subunit ribosomal RNA", at positions 355 to 776 of the family's 1533-position model. The record is from RNAcentral.
UGGGGAAUUUUGCGCAAUGGGCGAAAGCCUGACGCAGCAACGCCGCGUGGAGGAUGAAGGUGCUCUGCAUUGUAAACUCCUGUCGGCCGGGAAGAAUCGGCGGGGUGCUAAUCAGCCCCGUUUUGACUGUACCGGCAAAGGAAGCCCCGGCUAACUCCGUGCCAGCAGCCGCGGUAAUACGGAGGGGGCAAGCGUUACUCGGAAUUAUUGGGCGUAAAGGGCGCGUAGGCGGUCUUGUGCGUCGAGGGUGAAAUCCCCGGGCUUAACCCGGGAACUGCCUUCGAUACGGCGAGACUUGAGUCCGGGAGAGGGGAGCAGAAUUCCCAGUGUAGCGGUGAAAUGCGUAGAUAUUGGGAGGAAUACCAGUGGCGAAGGCGGCUCCCUGGACCGGUACUGACGCUGAGGCGCGAAAGCGUGGGUAGCAAACAGG